GAUGAAGAACGUAGCGAAACGCGAUAUGUAAUGUGAAUUGCAGAAUUCAGUGAAUCAUCGAAUCUUUGAACGCACCUUGCGCUCCUUGGUAUUCCGAGGAGCAUGCCUGUUUGAGUGUCAUUAAUAUAUCAACCUCUUCAGCUUAUGCUUGUUGAGUGUUGGAUGGUGGGGGUUUGCUGGUGUCUUAUGAAGUCAGCUCCUCUGAAAUGCAUUAGCGGAACAAUUUGUUGACCGUUCAUUGGUGUGAUAAAAAUAUCUACGCUAUUGACGUCAGUCAGUUCAGCUUCUAACAGUCCAUUGACUUGGACAAAUUUUUCAUUAAUGUGACCUCAAAUCAGGUAGGACUACCCGCUGAACUUAAGCAUAUCAAUAAGCGGAGGA
Molecule: unclassified non-coding RNA, 381 nt
Filed under: soil metagenome
Description: partial contains 5.8S ribosomal RNA, internal transcribed spacer 2, and large subunit ribosomal RNA
Rfam family: 5.8S ribosomal RNA (bases 1-120)
Source: RNAcentral